CUAGAGUUUGAUCCUGGCUCAGGAUUAACGCUGGCNNCRYNCCUAAUACAUGCAAGUCGAACGAAAGUAGCAAUACUUUAGUGGCGAACGGGUGAGUAACACGCUAUCUAACCUACCAUUUAGUGAGGAAUAACUNUUGGAAACNACAGCUAAUACCGCAUAUGUUAUUUAUUUGCAAUGAUAAAUAAUGAAANGAGCAUUUNCUUCGCUAAUUGAUGGGGAUGCGGCGCAUUAACUAGUUGGUAAGGUAAUGGCUUACCAAGGUAACGAUGCGUAGCCGAUCUGAGAGGAUGAACGGCCACAUUGGGACUGAGACACGGCCCAAACUUCUACGGAAGGCAGCAGUAGGGAAUUUUUCACAAUGGGCGAAANCCUGAUGGAGCAAUGCCGCGUGACUGAUGAAGGUCUUCGGAUUGUAAANGUCUGUUGUAAGAGAAGAAGUGCUAGAAUAGGAAAUGAUUUUAGUAUCGACCAUACCUUACCAGAAAGCCACGGGCUAAAAA
This 503-nucleotide ribosomal RNA is filed under the name Spiroplasma endosymbiont of Heliconius timareta. Its description in RNAcentral is "partial 16S ribosomal RNA". It matches the Rfam family "Bacterial small subunit ribosomal RNA", at positions 1 to 503 of the family's 1533-position model. Lineage: Bacteria; Bacillati; Mycoplasmatota; Mollicutes; Entomoplasmatales; Spiroplasmataceae. The record is from RNAcentral.